Molecule: long non-coding RNA, 804 nt
Organism: Orbicella faveolata
Lineage: Eukaryota; Metazoa; Cnidaria; Anthozoa; Scleractinia; Merulinidae
Source: RefSeq, a predicted model, not a curated record
AACAACAUCAAAGAAGAAACAAGAUGGCGUAGGGUUGCUUGGUAGUUUUCAUGGCCGUGUUUCCUAACAGGGUUUGUUACUGGUGCCUAUGCUGACAAAAUUUGAAGUUUAGUUGCUGAGCAUUUUGCUGUUAGUCAAUAGAAAAUAAUAAAAAUGGAUCCUGAGACCACAGCAAUACAGAAAAUUCAAAGUAAUGGCAACAGACCUGAAGAAUGGCUGGAAUUUUUGGCCCUGCAGCAAUCGAAGACAGCUGCUGGUCUUACUGAUGAGAGCUGUCGUCAUCUACUAUAUCUCUAUGAAAGAGCUGUGAGUCAGAUUCCAGCUGAGGAAAAUAAGAAGAAUUUUUCCUAUGCUCAACUCCUUGUGGAUUUUGCAAAACUUCAAACGAGAGUAUCUGAGGAUGAUGCAAGGAGUACAUUCCAGUUGGCAAGAAGCAAUGCCAAACACUUUGCUAUUGUUUUUGUUGCUUGGGCUCAGUUUGAGCUUUCAACAGGUUUGAAUCCAAUUCUUCCUUUCAUAUUAUAUAUUCAUAUAUCCAUAUUAGUUAUUUGCACAUGAAAACUGAAUCCUGAAUGAGGGGUGUUUUUUUUAAAUUAAAUUUUGUGACCUAAUCCACCUUACAGCUGUAGUUUAUGAUUACAAUGCAUGUAGAAAUAAGUCAUGUAACCUAUAUAAGGGUUAACCUGAAUGAGGGGUGUUUUUUUAUUUUGCAUUUUUUGACCUAAUCCACCUUAGUUUAUGAUUACAAAGCACAUAGAAAGAAGUUGCAUAACCUAUAUACCUGUAUAUACAACAUACUUCACA